RNAcentral lists this ribosomal RNA (497 nucleotides) under uncultured bacterium. Its description in RNAcentral is "partial 16S ribosomal RNA". It matches the Rfam family "Bacterial small subunit ribosomal RNA", at positions 28 to 507 of the family's 1533-position model. The record is from RNAcentral.
GAUGAACGCUGGCGGCGUGCCUAAUACAUGCAAGUCGAGCGAACAGACGAUGAUCUUGCUCCUCUGACGUUAGCGGCGGACGGGUGAGUAACACGUGGAUAACCUACCUAUAAUACUGGGAUAACUUCGAGACACCGGAUCUAAUACCGUAUAAUCUAUUGAACCGCAUGGUUCAUUAGUGAAAUACGGCUUUGCUGUCACUUAUAGAUGGAUCCCCGCCGCAUUAGCUAGUUGGUAAGGUAACGGCUUACGAAGGGGACCAGGCGUGGACGACCUGAGAGGGUGAUCGGCCACACUGGAACGGAGACGCGGUCCAGAGUCCUACGGGAGGCAGCAGUAGGGAAUCUUCCGCAGAGGGCGAAAGCCUGACGGAGCAACGCCGCGUGAGUGAUGAAGGUCUUCGGAUCGUAAAAUUCUGUUAUUAGGGAAGAACAAAUGUGUAAGUAAAUAUGCACGUCUUGACGGUACCUAAUCAGAAAGCCACGGCUAACUACGUG